UGGGGAAUAUUGGGCAAUGGGCGCAAGCCUGACCCAGCAACGCCGCGUGAAGGAAGAAGGCUUUCGGGUUGUAAACUUCUUUUGUCAGGGACGAAGCAAGUGACGGUACCUGACGAAUAAGCUCCGGCUAACUACGUGCCAGCAGCCGCGGUAAUACGUAGGGAGCAAGCGUUAUCCGGAUUUACUGGGUGUAAAGGGCGUGUAGGCGGGAUUGUAAGUCAGAUGUGAAAACCAGGGGCUCAACCUCUGGCCUGCAUUUGAAACUGCAGUUCUUGAGUACUGGAGAGGCAGACGGAAUUCCUAGUGUAGCGGUGAAAUGCGUAGAUAUUAGGAGGAACACCAGUGGCGAAGGCGGUCUGCUGGACAGCAACUGACGCUGAGGCGCGAAAGCGUGGGGAGCAAACA
This 405-nucleotide ribosomal RNA is filed under the name uncultured bacterium. RNAcentral describes it as "bacterial SSU rRNA". It matches the Rfam family "Bacterial small subunit ribosomal RNA", at positions 355 to 774 of the family's 1533-position model. The record is from RNAcentral.